RNAcentral lists this ribosomal RNA (393 nucleotides) under uncultured bacterium. RNAcentral describes it as "partial 16S ribosomal RNA". It matches the Rfam family "Bacterial small subunit ribosomal RNA", at positions 523 to 918 of the family's 1533-position model. The record is from RNAcentral.
AUACGGAGGAUCCGAGCGUUAUCCGGAUUUAUUGGGUUUAAAGGGUGCGCAGGCGGGAGAUUAAGUCGGCGGUGAAAUUUUGCAGCUCAACUGUAAAAGUGCCUUCGAUACUGGUUUUCUUGAGUGUGGAUGAAGUAGGCGGAAUUUGUGGUGUAGCGGUGAAAUGCUUAGAGAUCACGAGGAACUCCGAUUGCGCAGGCAGCCUACUAAAACACUGAUGACGCUCAGUCACGAAGGCGUGGGGAUCAAACAGGAUUAGAUACCCUGGUAGGCUACGCAGUAAACGAUGAAUACUGGCUUUAUGCGAUACAAUGUAAGCGGCUGAGCGAAAGCGUUAAGGAAUCCCCCUGGGGAGUACGUUCGCAAGAAUGCAGCUCACACGAAUUGACGGGG